GGUGGCGUUUAAAUUUUAAUAUCAUAAAGUGAAACUUACUUUGAUAUCGUAAUCAAUGAAGAGUGCAGUAUAUUCACCCUUGUAGUUUUAAGUGCACAUCUUGUAUAAGUUGGGUGUUGACAAAUUACACACUAUGCGGGAGACAUUGGAGAAGCCAUUAAUUAUACAAUUUUCAGUGUUUCUUUAUAUUUUUAAUUAUGUUGGGAAAAGAGGACUUACUUUUUCUUAGUAUACCUCAAUCGCACAGUCAUAUAUUCGUCUUUUUUAUUUUAUUAUUUCAUUUCUUUUUAUAUAAAAG
RNAcentral lists this long non-coding RNA (298 nucleotides) under Mytilus galloprovincialis (Mediterranean mussel). The record is from RNAcentral. Lineage: Eukaryota; Metazoa; Mollusca; Bivalvia; Mytilida; Mytilidae.